RNAcentral lists this ribosomal RNA (388 nucleotides) under uncultured Syntrophus sp. Its description in RNAcentral is "bacterial SSU rRNA". It matches the Rfam family "Bacterial small subunit ribosomal RNA", at positions 997 to 1382 of the family's 1533-position model. The record is from RNAcentral. Lineage: Bacteria; Pseudomonadati; Thermodesulfobacteriota; Syntrophia; Syntrophales; Syntrophaceae.
AUCUUUUAAUCGAGAUUUUCGCCUUCGGGUACAAUUGAGACAGGUGGUGCAUGGUUGUCGUCAGCUCGUGUCGUGAGAUGUUGGGUUAAGUCCCGCAACGAGCGCAACCCUUUGUGUUUAGUUGCAAACAGGUAAUGCUGUGCACUCUAGACAGACUGCCGUGGACAACACGGAGGAAGGUGGGAUGACGUCAAGUCCUCAUGGCCUUUAUGUCCAGGGCUACACACGUGCUACAAUGGGUGGUACAAAGAGCCGCGAACUCGCGAGAGCAAGCAAAUCUCAAAAAACCAUCCUCAGUUCGGAUUGGAGUCUGCAACUCGACUCCAUGAAGCUGGAAUCGCUAGUAAUCGCGGAUCAGCAUGCCGCGGUGAAUACGUUCCCGGGCCUU